CGGCAACAGCUCAAAUUUGAAAUCUGGCCUUGGCCCGAGUUGUAAUUUGCAGAGGAUGCUUUUGGCGCGGCGUCUUCGGAGUUCCCUGGAACGGGACGCCAUAGAGGGUGAGAGCCCCGUAUCGUUGGACGCCCAGCCUCUGUAUAGCACCUUCGAC
Molecule: ribosomal RNA, 157 nt
Filed under: Barbatosphaeria sp.
Lineage: Eukaryota; Fungi; Ascomycota; Sordariomycetes; Barbatosphaeriales; Barbatosphaeriaceae
Description: partial large subunit ribosomal RNA
Rfam family: Eukaryotic large subunit ribosomal RNA
Source: RNAcentral